Molecule: small RNA, 126 nt
Filed under: Marmota monax (woodchuck)
Lineage: Eukaryota; Metazoa; Chordata; Mammalia; Rodentia; Sciuridae
Source: RNAcentral
GCUGGGCAUGGUGGCCCACACCUGUAUUCCCAGUGACUCAGGAGGCUAAGACAGAGGAGUGCAUGUUUAAGGCCAGCCUCAGCAACUUAGCGAGGCCUUAAGCAACUUUGCAAGACCCUGUCUCAA